GACGAACGCUGGCGGCGUGCUUAACACAUGCAAGUCGAACGGAAAGGCCCUGCUUUUGUGGGGUGCUCGAGUGGCGAACGGGUGAGUAACACGUGAGUAACCUGCCCUUGACUUUGGGAUAACUUCAGGAAACUGGGGCUAAUACCGGAUAGGAGCUCCUGCUGCAUGGUGGGGGUUGGAAAGUUUCGGCGGUUGGGGAUGGACUCGCGGCUUAUCAGCUUGUUGGUGGGGUAGUGGCUUACCAAGGCUUUGACGGGUAGCCGGCCUGAGAGGGUGACAGGCCACAUUGGGACUGAGAUACGGCCCAGACUCAUACGGGAGGCAGCAGUGGGGAAUAUUGCAAAAUGGGCGGAAGCCUGAUGCAGCAACGCCGCGUGCGGGAUGACGGCCUUCGGGUUGUAAACCGCUUUCGCCUGUGACGAAGCGUGAGGGACGGUAAUGGGUAAAGAAGCACCGGCUAACUACGU
RNAcentral lists this ribosomal RNA (467 nucleotides) under uncultured bacterium. Its description in RNAcentral is "partial 16S ribosomal RNA". It matches the Rfam family "Bacterial small subunit ribosomal RNA", at positions 28 to 506 of the family's 1533-position model. The record is from RNAcentral.